GGAUGUGAGGGCAGUCCGGCUGCGGCAUCUGUCACCCCAUUGAUUGCCAGAGUUGAUUCGGCUAAUCUGGCUGCCUAAACAGGUGUCCCCUUUCUCCCUCACCAGUCCAUGUACUGCCUCCUGAAGCUGCACAUUGGUGGAAGAGGACAACCUUCCCCCCAGAGGAGAGGACUGUCUUUGGUCAAGGGUGUCCGAGUAGCUGCACUCCCCUGCUAGAACCUCCAAACAAGCUCUCAAGGUCCAUUUGACGGAGAACAUAGUGUAAUCAAGUUUCUAAGACUCUACCA
Molecule: small nuclear RNA, 287 nt
Filed under: Myotis brandtii (Brandt's bat)
Lineage: Eukaryota; Metazoa; Chordata; Mammalia; Chiroptera; Vespertilionidae
Description: 7SK RNA
Rfam family: 7SK RNA
About the family: 7SK was discovered as an abundant small nuclear RNA in the mid-70s but a possible function has only recently been suggested. Two independent studies have found that 7SK RNA binds the CDK9/cyclin T complex (known as elongation factor P-TEFb). P-TEFb activates transcription by phosphorylating the C-terminal domain of RNA polymerase II.
Source: Rfam by way of RNAcentral